CACUGGGUGGGGUGGGAAAGAAUGUGUCUGCCGAAGGAGCAGGGAGGCCUCGGCUUUCGUGACUUGCAUGCUUUUAACAUUGCAAUGCUAUCACGACAGGUCUGGCGGCUAAUCCAGUGUCCGGAGUCCCUGUGUGGACGAGUCCUACAAGCUAAAUACUUCCCACACGGCGAGGUACUGAAUUCUGUAGCAACACCAAGGAUGAGCUAUGUUUGGCGUAGUCUGCUCCAAGGUAUUUGUGUCAUUAAGGCUGGCAUGAUUUGGAGGGUUGGCACAGGUGAUAUGAUCAAAUAUUUGACGGGAUCCAUGGCUGCCCUCAAAUGA
Molecule: ribosomal RNA, 324 nt
Filed under: Triticum aestivum (bread wheat)
Lineage: Eukaryota; Viridiplantae; Streptophyta; Magnoliopsida; Poales; Poaceae
Description: partial small subunit ribosomal RNA
Source: RNAcentral